Long non-coding RNA from Alligator mississippiensis (American alligator), 1967 nucleotides. RefSeq lists it as uncharacterized. The transcript has 3 exons. The record is from RefSeq and is a predicted model, not a curated record. Lineage: Eukaryota; Metazoa; Chordata; Crocodylia; Alligatoridae.
GAACAAUUUUUCCAACUAUUUAGUUGGUCUAAUAAAACAUAUCACAUUUACCCAAAGAAGCUUUUCUGCCUGUGUCCUUAGACCAGUGGCUAUAACCAACACCCCUAAUUCUGACUCUUGUGCAUUUUUGCCAGAAUCGCCAUCAAAAUGCAGGAGUACAAGUAACUCCAUACUGCUGACUAAACAAUAGACUUGAGCUGAGAACACUUGGGCAGGGAGCCAGAACAGUUAUCCACUUUGACCUGAAGAAGUGGGCUUUAUGUUAAAAAAAAAAAAAAAAAAGGCCAUUGGGUGAGACCAGAGUUCUGUCAAUCCUGCUGUAUGAGGUGUCGGAAUUCAGCUAUCAGAAGUAAAAGGCCUCACAGAAGUCAGCAGCAUAAGAUGAGGGCAGAUUUAGUUCCUGUGUCAUUUUAAAAGGAAGAUAAAUGAGUUCUCAAGUGUAAUACUCAGUGUCCUGUUGGCUUGUCUGCUCAGCACUCGGCUCCUACAGUUCCUAAAGCUGCGUUCAGAGGACAAGGAUUCAGAAUUCUCAGGAAAGGGCACUUCGGCAAGCUCUAACUCAUAACACCCUUACCAAGGUGAAGCAGAAAAUAGACAACAAUUGAAUGCAGAAAGAAUGGCAAGACUAAGACAAAGUGAAACAAAUGAGCAAAGAGGAUGUCGUAGAAGAGAUGCAAUGGAAAGGCAAAGGGUUUACAGAGACAGUAGAAGACAGGCUGAAAGAGUAGACAAUAGAUUCACUGAAGACGAGAUUGAGAAACAUAGUUGUGGAUUGAUGAACGUGGUGUGCCAAUUUUGUUACUCUUCAAACUUCAAAGCUGAAAGACCAUCAGAUGGCCAAUUCCUGAGUUGUCAUAAGGGUAAAGUGAUUCUGCCUCCAAGAAGACUGUUUCCAGAGUAUAUGCAGGAUUUGAUAACAAAUUGGAACAAUGAGCAUUACCAGAACUUUAAAACAAACAUUCAAUUAUACAAUAGUGCAUUGUCUGUUGAGCAAAGGCCGUUGUGAUGAGAUGUAUGAUUCACAGAUCGUGUGGAGGAUUGAAUCCAAAUGCCCCAUGCAUGGAAAAUGAUCAUUGUCUGAAGAAAUAACCAAAGGAUUUUAGAGAGGAGACGCUUGGAAACGUUGAUGGAUACCCCCUAGCCUAUUUUUUGCCCGUCAUUUUUGACAGGCUUUUAUACUAGUAGACAAAUAAAUCCCCUAACCCUUUGAAUCAAGAGCCUGGCCUUGGAUCACAGGGGUUGGCCAGGGUGCUACUGGAGGUUCUCAGCACUAUCAGGUGCUAAGACCUUUCCAACUGAGGCUCCAUUCUUUCUACUCACAUUGGCAUCAGUGGGCAUUGAGAGUGCUUUGAACAUUAGAGGCUUGGGUGAAAUCCUAGUGUCUUGAAAUCAGUGGGAGUUUUGACACAGUUUCAACAGAGCCAGGAUUUCACUGUUGGUACUUCUAGCCAGGAAGCAUCGGAACUUGGACACUUCCUUCAAAAGAGAGCAAGCAAGGUUUGUAGCUGUUUGCCCGAGAACAAGAGAAGAUACUUUAGUUCUGUAUCUAAAAAGCCACAAUUUUCUUUGGAUAUCAGUUUUUGACUCUUUCUUUUCAGCACUGGCUGCAUCUCCUUUCUGUGCUUAGAGAGGAAAGCUAGUGUUGCUUCUUGUGAUAUCACCCAAAUGGACUGCACAGUUUCAAUAUGGUCAAUAUUCAGUCAUGAAUAUGGCAGUCGGUUAUAUGCAGUACUUGUGGGCUGUGGUCACAUGUCAUUAGGGUUAGGAUUUGAGUUGUUUGGGAAUUUUUUUGACAAAAGCCAGCCAAGAAAUGCCUUUUUACUGAAACCAAAAGCACUUGCUGGAAAAGAUCUGUUUUGGUGAACUUCCUGUUUAAAAAAUUCUAAAGAAGUUUUCAAAUGUCCCUUUCACUAUUUUCAAAAUGAGCACUUGAGAAGUUAUUUCUUUCUGCUCAAAAUAUAUUUUUG